GACGAACGCUGGCGGCGUGCCUAAUACAUGCAAGUCGAACGCAGUGGGGACGGGUGAGUAACACGUGGGUAACCUCCCAUCAGAGGGGAUAACACUUGGAAACAGGUGCUAAACCGAUACUGAUGGAUGAACCCGCGGUGCAUUAGCUAGUUGGUGAGGUAACGGCUCACCAAGGCCACGAUGCAUAGCCGACCUGGGUGGGGGAACGGGCAAACUGGGACUGGUGAACGGGCCAGACUCCUUCGGGAUGCAGGAGUAGGGAAACUUCGGCAAUGGACGAAAGUCCGACCGAGCAACGCCGCGGGGGUGAUGACGGCUGUCGGGUUGGAAAGCUCCGUUAAUCGGGACGCGGUACCUGAAUAGAAAGCCACGGCUAACUACGUGCCAGCCGCCGCGGUAAUUC
Molecule: ribosomal RNA, 403 nt
Filed under: uncultured bacterium
Lineage: Bacteria
Description: partial 16S ribosomal RNA
Rfam family: Bacterial small subunit ribosomal RNA
Source: RNAcentral